AUGAGCGUGGAAUUCAUGGUCAGGCUCACCAGGCUGUCGUCCGCGUCGCCCCGGCCGAAAUUUCCGCCGUCGCUUCCCCCAGCGCCGCCGCCAUCGCCUCCCCCGCCGUCGUCACGCGUGGUUACCAUGACCGCUGACUGCACGAGUUCGAGGCACAGCCUCAGCUUGUUGGGCUCGAUGUGGGUGAGCCCUGGCACGGCGCCCUUGAAGAGGAACUCCGAGGUGAGGCCCCGGAGCACGUCCAGCGGCGUGACGCCGUCGAGCGUCCUGGCGUUGGGGUCGGCGUGGUGGUCGAGGAGCACGGACACCAUAUCCGGGGACACCAUCUCAGCAGCCAGGUGCAGCGGGGUCUUCCCCGUCGGGCCGGCGCGGGAGUUGACGUCGGCGGCUCCGAGCUCCAGGAGUGCCUUGACGACGUCGCGGUUGCAGUGCUGCACGGCGUAG
RNAcentral lists this ribosomal RNA (444 nucleotides) under Triticum aestivum (bread wheat). RNAcentral's name for it is "partial small subunit ribosomal RNA". Lineage: Eukaryota; Viridiplantae; Streptophyta; Magnoliopsida; Poales; Poaceae. The record is from RNAcentral.